This 253-nucleotide ribosomal RNA is filed under the name uncultured bacterium. RNAcentral describes it as "partial 16S ribosomal RNA". It matches the Rfam family "Archaeal small subunit ribosomal RNA", at positions 474 to 727 of the family's 1478-position model. The record is from RNAcentral.
UACCAGCACCCCGAGUGGUCGGGACGUUUAUUGGGCCUAAGGCAUCCGUAGCCGGUUCUACAAGUCUUCCGUUAAAUCCAACUGCUUAACAGGUGGGCUGCGGAAGAUACUAUAGAGCUAGGAGGCGGGAGAGGCAAGCGGUACUCGAUGGGUAGGGGUAAAAUCCGUUGAUCCAUUGAAGACCACCAGUGGCGAAGGCGGCUUGCCAGAACGCGCUCGACGGUGAGGGAUGAAAGCUGGGGGAGCAAACCGG